GACGAACGCUGGCGGCGUGCCUAAUACAUGCAAGUUGAGCGCUGAAGGUUGGUACUUGUACCGACUGGAUGAGCAGCGAACGGGUGAGUAACGCGUGGGGAAUCUGCCUUUGUGCGGGGGACAACAUUUGGAAACGAAUGCUAAUACCGCAUAAAAACUUUAAACACAAGUUUUAAGUUUGAAAGAUGCAAUUGCAUCACUCAAAGAUGAUCCCGCGUUGUAUUAGCUAGUUGGUGAGGUAAAGGCUCACCAAGGCGAUGAUACAUAGCCGACCUGGGAGGGUGAUCGGCCACAUUGGGACUGAGACACGGCCCAAACUCCUACGGGAGGCAGCAGUAGGGAAUCUUCGGCAAUGGACGAAAGUCUGACCGAGCAACGCCGCGUGAGUGAAGAAGGUUUUCGGAUCGUAAAACUCUGUUGGUAGAGAAGAACGUUGGUGAGAGUGGAAAGCUCAUCAAGUGACGGUAACUACCCAGAAAGGGACGGCUAACUACGUGCCAGCCGCCGCAGUAA
RNAcentral lists this ribosomal RNA (513 nucleotides) under uncultured bacterium. RNAcentral describes it as "partial 16S ribosomal RNA". It matches the Rfam family "Bacterial small subunit ribosomal RNA", at positions 28 to 523 of the family's 1533-position model. The record is from RNAcentral.